Molecule: ribosomal RNA, 253 nt
Filed under: uncultured bacterium
Lineage: Bacteria
Description: partial 16S ribosomal RNA
Rfam family: Bacterial small subunit ribosomal RNA
Source: RNAcentral
UACGGAGGGUGCAAGCGUUAUCCGGAUUCACUGGGUUUAAAGGGUGCGUAGGUGGCUUGGUAAGUCAGUGGUGAAAUCUCCGGGCUUAACCCGGAAACUGCCAUUGAUACUAUCAGUCUUGAAUACCGUGGAGGUCAGUAGAAUAUGUCAUGUAGCGGUGAAAUGCUUAGAUAUGACAUAGAAUACCACUUGCGAAGGCAGCUGGCUACACGAAUAUUGACACUCAGGCACGAAAGCGUGGGGAGCAAACAGG